RNAcentral lists this transfer RNA (73 nucleotides) under Thermoleophilia bacterium. RNAcentral's name for it is "tRNA-Gly". It matches the Rfam family "tRNA". From Rfam's summary of the family: Transfer RNA (tRNA) molecules are approximately 80 nucleotides in length. Their secondary structure includes four short double-helical elements and three loops (D, anti-codon, and T loops). RNAcentral also lists the same sequence under 5 other names. Lineage: Bacteria; Bacillati; Actinomycetota; Thermoleophilia. The record is from RNAcentral.
GCGGGUGUAGCUCAGUUGGUAGAGCAUCAGCUUCCCAAGCUGAGGGUCGUGGGUUCGAGUCCCAUCGCCCGCU